UUUUUACGGAUGAAUUGAUGGGCGCCUACAACUGGCAUGAGUGAUGCGAAAAGCAGGCCCUGGUCAAGCUUAAGCUGUUGGAUUCCAUUCUACGAGAAAUCUUCAAACUACAAGGAAGUUUCGAUUUCGAACGAGGCG
This is a long non-coding RNA of Rhagoletis zephyria (snowberry fruit fly), 138 nucleotides long. RefSeq lists it as uncharacterized. Lineage: Eukaryota; Metazoa; Arthropoda; Insecta; Diptera; Tephritidae. The record is from RefSeq and is a predicted model, not a curated record.